Mauremys reevesii (Reeves's turtle) is the source of this 849-nucleotide long non-coding RNA. RefSeq lists it as uncharacterized. The record is from RefSeq and is a predicted model, not a curated record. The transcript is spliced from 2 exons. NCBI's taxonomy places the organism in Eukaryota, Metazoa, Chordata, Testudines, Geoemydidae.
CGAGCGGUUCUGCGGCGGCCCCGAUCCGCCCUCAGGCUGCGGCGAGCGGGCGCCCGUGCGGCUCCUGCCCGGGGCGCGCAGCGGCGGAGGCGGCGGCGGCGCUCGGGAGGCGGCUGCGGGAGAAGUGGGGCAGGAAGCGCCGGAGGAGCUGGUUUUCUCCUUCGGGCGAUGUGCCACAUCAUGACAGACAAGCAGCAAUACAACUUCACCUUGCCUCGCCUGGUUCGCACACCUUGUAUGUAGCCCACCACAGUCCUCGACAGAGUUAAAUACAGCAUGGGAGAGGAGAAAAACUAAAAUGUGUAAGGCAAAGGAAAACAGGAGACUGGAAUGAGGCAUUCUGUUGCAUCUCAUCCUCAACCAAGUUUGCAAUAGAUUUUAGUUUAAGCUCUUCUGCGUUGAACUGUCGCUGUUUUGCCCGUAGAGUUUAGCGCCCUCCAGCGGCAGAAGAUUGGCCAGACCAAUAAUACUGAAUUUCACUGGUUACGUCAAGGAAAGGAAGAUUGAAAAUAGGCGUCAGACAUUCUUAUCAUGCGGACUGAGUGACAAGAUAUCUAUAAGAAAAGAAUCCUAUUAUCUCCUUCUAGCUACCUUUCAUGUCGACUGAUAUCUACAAGACAAAAUGUCUGCCUUCUACAAAAGCUACUGUUUAAAGUUUAGAUUGUCAACAAAGACUGCCUGCCAAACACCGUGCACUUUUGUGGUGGCACUAAAGUAAUAAUGAUGAUGCCAUGCACAUGUAAUAGUUUAAUCAGGUUAAAGUGCCUGAUCUUGUUUGGAAACGCAUGUUUGCAGGAAACUGGUAUUGGACAGAGUCAUUAAAUAAACUCAUAUUAUGAUUAUCAAAAA